UCACCCGUCCCCAUGUCCGACAUCCCCACGUCUCUCUGUCCCCGUGUCCCCAUUCCCCCAUCUGUGUCCUAUGUCCCCAUGUCCCUCUGUCCCCAUUUUCACGUGUCCCCACAUCUCACAUCCCAUUGUCCGUCUGUCCCCACGUCCUUCUGUCCCCAUGUCCCAUGUCCCCAUGUCCUUCUGUCCCACGUCCCCACAGUCCUAUGCCCCCAUGUCCCCACACCCCUGUGACGCCGUGUCCCCGUGUCCAUCUGUCCCCGCUUCCACGUGUCCCCACGUCUCACAUCCACACGUCCCCGUGACCCCGCAUCCUACAUCCCCACAUCUCGUGUCCCCAUGUCCUUCUGUCCCUGUGUCCUUCUGUCCCCAUGUCCCAUGUCCCCAUGUCCCAUGUCCCCACGUCCUUCAGCACCAUGUCCCCACACCCCUGUCACCCUGUGUCCCAUGUCCCUGUAUCCCAUAUCCCCAUGUCUUAUGUCCCCAUGUCCUUCUGUCCCCAUGUCCCAUGUCCCCACGUCCUUCUGUCCCCAUGUCCCAUAUCUGUGUCUCAUAUCCCCACGUCCUUCUGUCCCCAUGUCCCAUGUCCCCAUGUCCUUCUGUCCCACGUCCCCACGUCCCUGUCACCCUGUGCCCCUAUGCCCCCAUGUCCCCUCACCCCCGUGUCCCCAUGUCCAUCUGUCCCCACGUCCACGCGUCCCCACGUCUCACAUCCGCACGUCCCUGUGACCCCACAUCCCCACAUCUCGUGUCCCCAUGUCCUUCUGUCCCCAUGUCCCAUAUCUGUGUCUCAUAUCCCCAUGUCCUUCUGUCCCCGUGUCCCAUGUCCCCGUGUCCUUCUGUCCCACGUCCCCAUGUUCCUGUCACCCUGUGUCCUAUGCCCCCAUGUCCCCACACCCCCGUGUCCCCGUGUCCAUCUGUCCCCACUUCCACGCGUCCCCACGUCUCACAUCCGCACGUCCCUGUGACCCCACAUCCCCACAUCUCGUGUCCCCAUGUCCUUCUGUCCCCAUGUCCCAUAUCUGUGUCUCAUAUCCCCAUGUCCUUCUGUCCCCGUGUCCCAUGUCCCCGUGUCCUUCUGUCCCAUGUCCCCACGUCCCUGUCACCCUGUGUCCUAUGCCCCCAUGUCCCCACACCGCCGUGUCCAUCUGUCCCCACUUCCACAUGUCCCGUCUCACAUCCGCACGUCCCCGUGACCCCACAUCCCACAUCCCCAAAUCUCACGUCCCCACAUCCUUCUGUCCCCGUGUCCCAUGUCCCCAUGUCCCCAUGUCCUUCUGUCCCACAUCCCCACGUCCCACACCCGCACUCCACCCCCCCCACCCCUCCCCUAUAGGGCGCACAUCCCCAAAGCGAUGCACACAGCACCUCGCCGCCCCAAAAGGAACGGGACCGCAGCGGGGCGCUGCCCCAUAGGAGCACACAUCAUCGCCCCCCAUAGCGGCAGGCAUCGCCCCCCAUAGCGGGGUGUGGGGCGGAGGGAUGCUGCCCCAUAGAUGCAGCUGCCCCAUAGAUGCAGCUGCCCCAUAGAUGCAGCAGCCCCAGCGGCAGCCGCCCACCCCUGCGGCACCGCAGCGCUGCAGCACCGGCCCAC
This 1591-nucleotide long non-coding RNA is filed under the name Phasianus colchicus (ring-necked pheasant). Its description in RNAcentral is "lncRNA (ENSPCLG00000015098.1)". Lineage: Eukaryota; Metazoa; Chordata; Aves; Galliformes; Phasianidae. The record is from RNAcentral.